RNAcentral lists this ribosomal RNA (292 nucleotides) under uncultured bacterium. Its description in RNAcentral is "partial 16S ribosomal RNA". It matches the Rfam family "Bacterial small subunit ribosomal RNA", at positions 505 to 796 of the family's 1533-position model. The record is from RNAcentral.
GUGCCAGCAGCCGCGGUAAGACGAACCGUGCGAACGUUAUUCGGAUUCACUGGGCUUAAAGGGCGCGUAGGCGGCUCCGCGAGUCGGGGGUGAAAUCGUUCCGCUCAACGGGACAAGGGCCUCCGAGACCGCGGGACUCGAGGGGGAUAGGGGUGCGCGGAACUUCCGGUGGAGCGGUGAAAUGCGUAGAUAUCGGAAGGAACGCCGGUGGCGAAAGCGGCGCACUGGAUCCCUACUGACGCUGAGGCGCGAAAGCCAGGGGAGCAAACGGGAUUAGAUACCCGCGUAGUCC